RNAcentral lists this small RNA (29 nucleotides) under Bombyx mori (domestic silkworm). RNAcentral's name for it is "ovarian small RNA-4070". Lineage: Eukaryota; Metazoa; Arthropoda; Insecta; Lepidoptera; Bombycidae. The record is from RNAcentral.
UUCUCAUGCAAUAACUGAAUUGUUUGGCC